Molecule: ribosomal RNA, 432 nt
Filed under: uncultured bacterium
Lineage: Bacteria
Description: partial 16S ribosomal RNA
Rfam family: Bacterial small subunit ribosomal RNA
Source: RNAcentral
AACGAACGCUGGCGGCAUGCCUAACACAUGCAAGUCGAACGAGACCUUCGGGUCUAGUGGCGCACGGGUGCGUAACGCGUGGGAACCUGCCCUUAGGUUCGGAAUAACUCCCCGAAAGGGGUGCUAAUACCGGAUAAUGUCUUCGGACCAAAGAUUUAUCGCCUUCGGAUGGGCCCGCGUUGGAUUAGCUAGUUGGUAGGGUAAAAGCCUACCAAGGCGACGAUCCAUAGCUGGUCUGAGAGGAUGAUCAGCCACACUGGGACUGAGACACGGCCCAGACCCCUGCGGGGGGGAGAAGGGGGGAAUAUGGGACAAGGGGGGAAAGCAUAAUCCAGCAGGGCCGGGAAGGAGAUGAAGGCGUGAGGGUUGUAAGUCUCUUUUACCCGGGAUGUUAAUAAGUGAACCGGAGAAAAAAGCCCGGGUAACCUCGGG